Molecule: long non-coding RNA, 396 nt
Filed under: Cricetulus griseus (Chinese hamster)
Lineage: Eukaryota; Metazoa; Chordata; Mammalia; Rodentia; Cricetidae
Description: lncRNA (ENSCGRG00000024450.1)
Source: RNAcentral
UUGUGGUGUUGUAGGUUCAAAAUCAAUCUACAGGUGAUGACAUUCCAUCAGCACUGGCUACAGUUGGAAUUGAGGAAAGCACUCCGAUUGGAAAAGUAAGCUUCACAACACAUUGCCUGUAAGUCAACAGCUGUGAGUGCAGUGACUAACCACACAAGGACAUCCAAGAGCCACUCAGCACCUGAUCACCAACAGUUUGGAACACAUGCGAGUCAUUUGGAAAGAAAGGACAUUCCCUACUGGUGGUUUGAGGAUCUUCUAGGUGAGCUAAUGUCCUCGGUGCUUGCAAAUACCUUCUGUACUGGGUCUUUCAUCACCUAUGGCUUAAGAACCAGUUCCUGACAAGGUGAGAUGCCCACUGGGGUAUUUGCUUUUUUCUUGUAUCAUUUCCCCAUU